UACGGGGGGGGCGAGCGUUGUUCGGAAUUAUUGGGCGUAAAGGGAGCGUAGGCGGUGCGGUAAGUUUGGUGUGAAACCUCCAGGCUUAACUUGGAGCUGGCAUCAAAUACUGCCGUGCUAGAGUGUGGGAGAGGAGAGUGGAAUUCCCGGUGUAGCGGUGAAAUGCGUAGAUAUCGGGAGGAACAUCGGUGGCGAAGGCGGCUCUCUGGACCACAACUGACGCUGAGGCUCGAAAGCUAGGGGAGCAAACAGGAUUAGAUACCCUGGUAGUCCUAGCUGUAAACGAUGAACACUUGGUAUAGCGGGUAUCGAAUCCCGCUGUGCCGGAGCUAACGCAUUAAGUGUUCCGCCUGGGGAGUACGGUCGCAAGGCUGAA
This 376-nucleotide ribosomal RNA is filed under the name uncultured bacterium. RNAcentral's name for it is "bacterial SSU rRNA". It matches the Rfam family "Bacterial small subunit ribosomal RNA", at positions 524 to 898 of the family's 1533-position model. The record is from RNAcentral.